AACUGCAAACUGUUUUCAAUAAUAGUUAAGUCAUGAAUCAAGAAUAGAUUAAACUGAAAAAAGAAUCCACAGAACUAAUUUUUAUGUUUUUGCCUUAAAUUUCAUUCUCUAAAUUAGAGAGAGAGAAAACAAUUUCUAAACCAACCAGCCCAAAUCCAAAAAAUUGAAUAAAAAGUACAACCCAAAUAAAAAACCAGCCCAAAUCCAAAAAAUUGAAUAAAAAGUA
This 226-nucleotide long non-coding RNA is filed under the name Gossypium raimondii (Peruvian cotton). Its description in RNAcentral is "long non-coding RNA (GRAI_LNC009513)". The record is from RNAcentral. Lineage: Eukaryota; Viridiplantae; Streptophyta; Magnoliopsida; Malvales; Malvaceae.